UCCAAAUCCUUGUUUCACAUUGAAUGUUUUAAAAAUGAAUUUGAAAUUCAGUAUCUAUUCACCCCAUGACCUAAGAGUAUACAGAGGAACCAGUUAGAAAUGACCAGUUGAGGGUAGAGUGUUUAAUUGAGAAGUCAGCACAUACUGGCAGCUCUUAAACCAAAUAUUGGCUCGUUUAACUUGAAAUUUUCCAAGUUCUUCGAUUUGAUUUGUCUAAUGGAACAAAUUGAUGUUACCUUGAAGUGGUAUGAGGACCUGAUACCUUCAGUCUACUUUCCCCACUCCCAAACAUUGAUACAUCUUCUCCAAGCAUUGGAUGUGGCCAAUCGGCUAGAAAUGAUUCCUAAAAUUUGGAAAGAUAGUAAAGAAUAUGGUCAUACUUUCCGCAGCGACCUGAGAGAAGAGAUCCUGAAGCUCAUGGCAAGGGACAAGCACCCACCAGAGCUUCAGGUGGCAUUUGCUGACUGUGCUGCUGAUAUCAAAUCUGCGUAUGAAAGCCAACACAUCAGACAGACUGCUCAGGAUUGGCCAGCCACCUCUCU
This 542-nucleotide small RNA is filed under the name Pongo abelii (Sumatran orangutan). RNAcentral's name for it is "processed transcript". The record is from RNAcentral. Lineage: Eukaryota; Metazoa; Chordata; Mammalia; Primates; Hominidae.